Molecule: non-coding RNA, 371 nt
Organism: Puma concolor (puma)
Lineage: Eukaryota; Metazoa; Chordata; Mammalia; Carnivora; Felidae
Source: RefSeq, a predicted model, not a curated record
CAGAAGAUGCCUGUCUGGGAGCAGUGGGUGGGGGCCCAGAGAAUAAGGAACCCAAGUGCUUAGGCCCUCCCUCCGGCUGCAGACCUCAGCUGGGCUGGGCGCGGCGCGGGAUCCGAGGGGGCUCAGCCGCCCCUGUCCCAACCUCCUGAAACAGCCAUCUCCUGACAACCCCCCAUCGCCGGCUUCCACGUAGCCAUGUCCCUCCUCCUGCUGGUGGUCUCUGCCCUUCACAUCCUCAUUCUCAUCCUGCUUUUCGUGGCCACUUUGGACAAGUCCUGGUGGACCCUCCCGGGGAAGGAGUCCCUGAAUCUCUGGUAUGACUGCACAUGGAACAAUGACAACAAAACGUGGGCCUGCAGUAACGUCAGCGA